GAGACCCACGCCAACAGUUGCCAGCAUGUCCUCCGGGAUGGUGGGGACACUGUUGGGACCGCCUCUGCUAAAGAGGAGGAAGGAAUGGGCAACGGUAGGUCAGCAUGCCCCGAAUUAUCCGGGCUACACGCGGGCUAUAAUGGUCAGGACAAUGGGUAUCGACACCGAGAGGUGAAGGCAAUCUCUUAAACCUGUCCUUAGUUCGGAUUGUGGGCUGCAACUCGCCCACAUGAAGCUGGAAUCCGUAGUAAUCGCGUCUCAAAAUGGCGCGGUGAAUAU
RNAcentral lists this ribosomal RNA (279 nucleotides) under uncultured archaeon. RNAcentral describes it as "partial 16S rRNA". It matches the Rfam family "Archaeal small subunit ribosomal RNA", at positions 1047 to 1325 of the family's 1478-position model. The record is from RNAcentral.